Physcomitrium patens is the source of this 1293-nucleotide long non-coding RNA. RefSeq lists it as uncharacterized. NCBI's taxonomy places the organism in Eukaryota, Viridiplantae, Streptophyta, Bryopsida, Funariales, Funariaceae. The record is from RefSeq and is a predicted model, not a curated record.
GACCGUAUUGGUCGUCACGGAUAUUAGGUAGUACGGGGCACAUGAGUGCUGGGUGUUGCGAGAGGCAGAGGCUGCAAUGGGCGAGGCUUGAGAGGAUUCGGCAGUGAGCGCGACGGCGAGGCAAAGCUGCACAGCAGUACAAGAGGGCUUAGGUGAGAGCUUAUUGCUGUUGUUGCUGCGACAGAGCUGGACUGUGCGGGGUACUAGAGUACGAGGUUGCGGUCAAGGAGGUGGAACAUCGCGAGAAGAGCGAGCUGUGGUAGUGCGGGUCGCGAGGUGCUAGAUUGCAAGCAUUGUAUUGGGGCACAAAAGUGACACAGUGCGGCGACAGGCGGCAUUGGAGGAUCGGUGCAAUAGGAUCAAGGUACAAUCUGCAGGUUGGGCUAUUUGGAAAUAUAGUCCUAAGUUGGCAGGUUACAGUACUAGAGAAUUGAGAUUGCGGAUUUACUAUGCGAAUUAGGGUUACAACGUAGGUAGUAGGUAGACCAAGGUGCUGGCUUACAAAACGAAACUACGGUGGAGGAGGGUUGCAAUACUGGAGUAGAGUGUUGGGCAUUGGAUCAAAGCGCGGUACAGCACUAAAGGCAGAGCAAGGUGUUGUAGUCUAGGAUCAUUGAGCAGCUUGAAAUCCAUGUGCUGUGCAAGACAGUGUCAAUCGGCAGCUAGUAGCGACCAAUGGCGGUAGCUGCGUUCUCCUACAAAUCAAAACAUCAAGCCACGGCCUUAGAGAGGAGGUCAAUCGGAGCAUUGAAGUAGCAUUACUAAAUGUCAAUUGCUUUUCAAGUGAGUUUUGAUUUUUUCUAAUUUCUCCACAUUUCAUUUUAUUGCAAUUAUCAUUUAUUAUCACAAAUUUUGCAAUCUGUAACCAUCAACUACAGGUGGUUGCUAGUUACUUUGAUUUACUUUUGAUUUUUUAUUAUGUAUUGUUGGAAAUAAAGAUCUAGUAUGGAUUUUGGAAUUUGUUUUUGGUACUUUUUCUUAGUUGCAAGUAUUGUUUUCAAAGGUUUUUUAUAAUAAUUUCAUUUUGUAUUUGUAUUAAUUUGUGUUGAUAGGCAUAUUCUAAGAAUAAGGUCAGGUUAAUAGCCAACAAGAUUUUUAUGAUUGUAGGUAUGUUAGAUUUGUAGUGAUAUAGAAGUGAUUAUUAUUGAAUUGCAAAGUUUGGUAGUUUCAGAAGUGCAAGUUGUUUUUUAAGUCUUUAGAUAGUUGCAAGUAUCAAAGAAGUUCUUUUAUAGUAUACACAAAGAGUUGAUAUUAUUGAUUUUUUUUUCACCAAACUACUUAAAUUAUGAUCAC